CAGUUUGAUUCUGACUGAGAAAUUAACUUUUACCAACCAAAAUACAUGUAAAUUUCUUUAUUCCCGCAAUAAAUUUAGUCUAAAUGAUUUAAUAAAUGUAUUCAGACAUACUAAAUACAGUAGGGCGCCACAGUAAAUAACACUUUUUAAUUUGAAAAAUCAAGAAAAGAGUAUGGUAUAAGGGCUGGCAAAAUUCGUGCCAGCUGCCGCGGUUAGACGAAAAGCCCAAGUUAAUAAAAUAUAAACUAAAUUAAUGAUAAGUUAAACAAUAACAAAAGUCUAAUUUUUAAAAUCCAAGACCCACAUCUAUCAAAUAACAAUGAAAUCAUAAACUAAAACGUGGAUUAGAUACCCACCUAUUCAUGACAUAAAUAAUAGUUGAAUAUUACGAACAAUAGUUUAAAAUUCAAAGAUUUUGGCGGUGUCUUAUAAAACCAGGGGAACCUGUCUCAUAACUCGAUAAUCCACGUAUAUUCAACCCCCUCUUGAUACACCAGCAUGUGUACUGCCGUUGUAAGCAUACCUUUAAAAGAAAGUGUGCUACUAUGACUAUUAACUUACUCAUUUACAUCAGGUCAAAGUGCAGCUAAUGAGGAGGAGAUGAUGGGUUACAACCCCAAAACAGACUAUCAACCAAGAAAUUAAAAACCUUAUGAAAGUGGACUUGACCGUAAUCGAUUUACAAGUUAAAAAAAUGAAUAAUAUCUAAGACAUGUACACAUCGCCCGUCACUCUAUCCUAAAGGAUAGAUAAGUCGUAACAAAGUAGGUGUAAUGGAAAUUGCGCCUGU
RNAcentral lists this non-coding RNA (790 nucleotides) under Amynthas sp. CS029. Lineage: Eukaryota; Metazoa; Annelida; Clitellata; Crassiclitellata; Megascolecidae. The record is from RNAcentral.